CAUAGGUUUGGUCCCAGCCUUCCUGUUAACUCUUAAUAAACUUACACAUGCAAGCAUCUACACCCCAGUGAGAAUGCCCUCUAGGUUAUUAAAACUAAGAGGAGCUGGCAUCAAGCACACACCCUGUAGCUCACGACGCCUUGCUUAACCACACCCCCACGGGAAACAGCAGUGACAAAAAUUAAGCCAUAAACGAAAGUUUGACUAAGUUAUAUUAAUUAGGGUUGGUAAAUCUCGUGCCAGCCACCGCGGUCAUACGAUUAA
RNAcentral lists this ribosomal RNA (264 nucleotides) under Bos taurus (domestic cattle). RNAcentral describes it as "partial 12S ribosomal RNA". Lineage: Eukaryota; Metazoa; Chordata; Mammalia; Artiodactyla; Bovidae. The record is from RNAcentral.